AACGAACGCUGGCGGCAGGCUUAACACAUGCAAGUCGAACGGUUGUAGCAAUACAGCAGUGGCAGACGGGUGAGUAACACGUGGGAACCUUCCUAGGGGUACGGAACAACUCAGGGAAACUUGAGCUAAUACCGUAUACGUCCGUGAGGAGAAAGAUUUUAUCGCCCUUAGACGGGCCCGCGUCGGAUUAGCUAGUUGGUGGGGUAACGGCCUACCAAGGCGACGAUCCGUAGCUGAUCUUAGAGGAUGAUCAGCCACACUGGGACUGAGACACGGCCCAGACUCCUACGGGAGGCAGCAGUGGGGAAUCUUGGACAAUGGGCGC
Molecule: ribosomal RNA, 325 nt
Filed under: uncultured bacterium
Lineage: Bacteria
Description: bacterial SSU rRNA
Rfam family: Bacterial small subunit ribosomal RNA
Source: RNAcentral